RNAcentral lists this ribosomal RNA (261 nucleotides) under uncultured bacterium. RNAcentral's name for it is "partial small subunit ribosomal RNA". It matches the Rfam family "Bacterial small subunit ribosomal RNA", at positions 26 to 285 of the family's 1533-position model. The record is from RNAcentral.
AGAAUCAACGCUGGCGGCGUGCCUAACACAUGCAAGUCGAACGAGAAAGUGGAGCAAUCCAUGAGUAAAGUGGCGACCGGGUGAGUAACACGUGACCAAUCUACCCUUGAGUGGGGGAUAACCUCGGGAAACCGGGACUAAUACCGCAUAAUAUCUUCGGAACGGAAGUACUGAAGAUCAAAGGAGCAAUUCGCUUAAGGAGGAGGUCGCGGCUGAUUAGCUAGUUGGCGGGGUAAUGGCCCACCAAGGCGAUGAUCGGUA